UGUGGAAUAUUGGACAAUGGGCGAAAGCCUGAUCCAGCAAUGCCGCGUGUGUGAAGAAGGCCUUAGGGUUGUAAAACACUUUCAGCAGAGAAGAAGUAUUAAUUGCUAAUAUCAAUUGAUAUUGACGUUAUUUGCAGAAGAAGUACUGGCUAACUCUGUGCCAGCAGCCGCGGUAAUACAGAGAGUGCGAGCGUUAAUCGGAAUUAUUGGGCGUAAAGGGUGUGUAGGUGGGUAAAAAAGUUAAAUGUGA
This 250-nucleotide ribosomal RNA is filed under the name uncultured bacterium. RNAcentral describes it as "partial 16S ribosomal RNA". It matches the Rfam family "Bacterial small subunit ribosomal RNA", at positions 355 to 597 of the family's 1533-position model. The record is from RNAcentral.